This 374-nucleotide RNase P RNA is filed under the name Frateuria aurantia DSM 6220. RNAcentral's name for it is "Bacterial RNase P class A". It matches the Rfam family "Bacterial RNase P class A". Rfam says of the family: Ribonuclease P (RNase P) is a ubiquitous endoribonuclease, found in archaea, bacteria and eukarya as well as chloroplasts and mitochondria. The record is from Rfam by way of RNAcentral. Lineage: Bacteria; Pseudomonadati; Pseudomonadota; Gammaproteobacteria; Lysobacterales; Rhodanobacteraceae.
GGAGUCGGCCGGACAGUCGCGUGUGCCUUCGGGUACUCGAGGAAAGUCCGGGCUCCACAGGGCAGGGUGCCAGGUAACGCCUGGGCGGUGCAAGCCGACGGCCAGUGCAACAGAGAGCAGACCGCCGAUGGCCGCCAUCCUCGUGAUGACGGAUCAGGCAAGGGUGAAAGGGUGCGGUAAGAGCGCACCGCGCGCGGGGACAACGUCGCGUGGCACGGUAAACCCCACCCGGAGCAAGACCGAAUAGGGGAACGAUAACGCGGCCCGCGUUGUUCCCGGGUAGGUUGCUGGAAUCUGGCGGUGACGCCAGGUCGAGAUGAAUGACUGUCGCGUCGCAAGACGUACAGAACCCGGCUUACAGGCCGGCUCCGCAC